Molecule: microRNA precursor, 105 nt
Filed under: Canis lupus dingo (dingo)
Lineage: Eukaryota; Metazoa; Chordata; Mammalia; Carnivora; Canidae
Description: mir-8834 microRNA precursor family
Rfam family: mir-8834 microRNA precursor family
Source: Rfam by way of RNAcentral
AGGAGGAACAACCGCGGUGGUGGGGCCAGCUCUGGAGUCCUGGAGUCAGCUCCUACAGUAAAUCCAGAGCUCUUGGUCUGCAGGGCCUGGAGGCUCUGGGGCGGG